GGGGGAAUCUUAGACAAUGGGCGCAAGCCUGAUCUAGCCAUGCCGCGUGAGUGAUGAAGGCCUUAGGGUCGUAAAGCUCUUUCGCCUGUGAAGAUAAUGACGGUAGCAGGUAAAGAAGUCCCGGCUAACUCCGUGCCAGCAGCCGCGGUAAUACGGAGGGGACUAGCGUUGUUCGGAAUUACUGGGCGUAAAGCGCGCGUAGGCGGACUAGUCAGUCAGAGGUGAAAUCCCAGGGCUCAACCCUGGAACUGCCUUUGAUACUGCUAGUCUUGAGUUCGAGAGAGGUGAGUGGAAUUCCGAGUGUAGAGGUGAAAUUCGUAGAUAUUCGGAAGAACACCAGUGGCGAAGGCGGCUCACUGGCUCGAUACUGACGCUGAGGUGCGAAAGUGUGGGGAGCAAACAGGAUUAGAUACCCUGGUAGUCCACACCGUAAACGAUGAAUGCCAGACGUCGGGCAGCAUGCUGUUCGGUGUCACACCUAACGGAUUAAGCAUUCCGCCUGGGGAGUACGGUCGCAAGAUUA
RNAcentral lists this ribosomal RNA (523 nucleotides) under uncultured bacterium. Its description in RNAcentral is "bacterial SSU rRNA". It matches the Rfam family "Bacterial small subunit ribosomal RNA", at positions 355 to 896 of the family's 1533-position model. The record is from RNAcentral.